Gasterosteus aculeatus aculeatus (three-spined stickleback) is the source of this 463-nucleotide long non-coding RNA. NCBI's taxonomy places the organism in Eukaryota, Metazoa, Chordata, Actinopteri, Perciformes, Gasterosteidae. The record is from Ensembl.
GGCCUAGUGUGUGUGCUCUUUAAUUCCAUUUAAAGCCAUUGAAAUGGACUAGGCUCACAAUUUCUUUUUCGGCAGGAGAAGCACGAAACAUCAGACGAGAGGCAGACCACACCGGCAGACCACACAGUGUGCUGACUGCACAGAGAAAAAUACUAGUGGACAGUUAGGUCAUGUUGGACAGCAAGAAUUUCCAAAAGUUCACUGAGCAGCUGGGCUUCAGGGAUGGAAGGAUCGAGCUUGGGCAUUCCUGGCCGUUGACCAAAGAGGGACCGGGAAGAUCAAAGCUCUGCAAUUCUGUCAAGCGCUGGAGAACCUUUUUGCGCGCAUGUCGAACAAAAAGUAUGUAAACUUGCUGACCAAACUGCAACCAGACCAUAAAAACACAACUGUUAAGUGCAAGGACUUUGAAUUAUGGAGCCCACUGGUAAGAGACGCUGUUUCUGAAAAUAGAAACAUAGUGAAC